This 88-nucleotide ribosomal RNA is filed under the name Providencia stuartii. RNAcentral describes it as "partial 16S ribosomal RNA". It matches the Rfam family "Bacterial small subunit ribosomal RNA", at positions 1448 to 1533 of the family's 1533-position model. The record is from RNAcentral. Lineage: Bacteria; Pseudomonadati; Pseudomonadota; Gammaproteobacteria; Enterobacterales; Morganellaceae.
GGGCGCUUACCACUUUGUGAUCCAUGACUGGGGUGAAGUCGUAACAAGGUAACCGUAGGGGAACCUGCGGUUGGAUCACCUCCUUACC